GAUGAACGCUGGCGGCGUGCUUAACACAUGCAAGUCGAACGAAGCAUUUGAGUGAAUCCUUUCGGGGUGAAGCUUAAAUGACUGAGUGGCGGACGGGUGAGUAACGCGUGGGUAACCUGCCUUAUACAGGGGGAUAACAGUUGGAAACGACUGCUAACACCGCAUAAAACGGUAGUGCCGCAUGGCAGAACCGUCAAAUAUUUAUAGGUAUGAGAUGGGCCCGCGUCUGAUUAGCUAGUUGGUGAGGUAAUGGCUCACCAAGGCGACGAUCAGUAGCCGGCUUGAGAGAGUGACCGGCCACAUUGGGACUGAGACACGGCCCAAACUCCCACGGGAGGCAGCAGUGGGGAAUAUUGCACAAUGGGCGAAAGCCUGAUGCAGCGACGCCGCGUGAGUGAAGAAGUAUUUCGGUAUGUAAAGCUCUAUCAGCAGGGAAGAUAAUGACAGUACCUGACUAAGAAGCCCCGGCUAACUACGUGCCAGCCGCCGCGGUAA
Molecule: ribosomal RNA, 495 nt
Filed under: uncultured bacterium
Lineage: Bacteria
Description: partial 16S ribosomal RNA
Rfam family: Bacterial small subunit ribosomal RNA
Source: RNAcentral